This 732-nucleotide ribosomal RNA is filed under the name Campylobacter jejuni. Its description in RNAcentral is "partial 23S ribosomal RNA". It matches the Rfam family "Bacterial large subunit ribosomal RNA", at positions 458 to 1188 of the family's 2925-position model. Lineage: Bacteria; Pseudomonadati; Campylobacterota; Epsilonproteobacteria; Campylobacterales; Campylobacteraceae. The record is from RNAcentral.
AUCCAACCCUAAAUACUAAUACCAGAUCGAUAGUGUACAAGUACCGUGAGGGAAAGGUGAAAAGAACUGAGGUGAUCAGAGUGAAAUAGAACCUGAAACCAUUUGCUUACAAUCAUUCAGAGCCCUAUGUAGCAAUACAGGGUGAUGGACUGCCUUUUGCAUAAUGAGCCUGCGAGUUGUGGUGUCUGGCAAGGUUAAGCAAACGCGAAGCCGUAGCGAAAGCGAGUCUGAAUAGGGCGCUUAGUCAGAUGCUGCAGACCCGAAACGAAGUGAUCUAUCCAUGAGCAAGUUGAAGCUAGUGUAAGAACUAGUGGAGGACUGAACCCAUAGGCGUUGAAAAGCCCCGGGAUGACUUGUGGAUAGGGGUGAAAGGCCAAUCAAACUUCGUGAUAGCUGGUUCUCUCCGAAAUAUAUUUAGGUAUAGCGUUGUGUCGUAAUAUAAGGGGGUAGAGCACUGAAUGGGCUAGGGCAUACACCAAUGUACCAAACCCUAUCAAACUCCGAAUACCUUAUAUGUAAUCACAGCAGUCAGGCGGCGAGUGAUAAAAUCCGUCGUCAAGAGGGAAACAACCCAGACUACCAGCUAAGGUCCCUAAAUCUUACUUAAGUGGAAAACGAUGUGAAGUUACUUAAACAACCAGGAGGUUGGCUUAGAAGCAGCCAUCCUUUAAAGAAAGCGUAAUAGCUCACUGGUCUAGUGAUUUUGCGCGGAAAAUAUAACGGGGCUAAAGU